UACGGAGGGUGCAAGCGUUAAUCGGAAUUACUGGGCGUAAAGCGUGCGCAGACGGCUGCGUAAGUCAGAUGUGAAAGCCCCGGGCUCAACCUGGGAAUUGCAUUUGAGACUGCGUAGCUAGGGUGCGGAAGAGGGAAGCGGAAUUUCCGGUGUAGCGGUGAAAUGCGUAGAUAUCGGAAGGAACACCAGUGGCGAAAGCGGCUUCCUGGUCCAGCACCGACGUUCAGGCACGAAAGCGUGGGGAGCAAACAGG
Molecule: ribosomal RNA, 253 nt
Filed under: uncultured bacterium
Lineage: Bacteria
Description: partial 16S ribosomal RNA
Rfam family: Bacterial small subunit ribosomal RNA
Source: RNAcentral